AGGGAAUCUUCCACAAUGGACGAAAGUCUGAUGGAGCAACGCCGCGUGAGUGAUGAAGGGUUUCGGCUCGUAAAACUCUGUUGUUGGAGAAGAACAGGUGUGAGAGUAACUGUUCACAUCUUGACGGUAUCCAACCAGAAAGCCACGGCUAACUACGUGCCAGCAGCCGCGGUAAUACGUAGGUGGCAAGCGUUGUCCGGAUUUAUUGGGCGUAAAGCGAGCGCAGGCGGUUUUCUUAGGUCUGAUGUGAAAGCCUUCGGCUUAACCGGAGAAGUGCAUCGGAAACCAG
Molecule: ribosomal RNA, 289 nt
Filed under: uncultured bacterium
Lineage: Bacteria
Description: partial 16S ribosomal RNA
Rfam family: Bacterial small subunit ribosomal RNA
Source: RNAcentral